GACGAAGGGGGCAAGCGUUGUUCGGAAUUACUGGGCGUAAAGCGAGUGUAGGUGGUUGUCGUAGUCAGGCGUGAAAGCCUCGAGCUCAACUCGAGAAAUGCGCUUGAUACUGGGCAGCUAGAGGACCGGAGAGGAUAGUGGAAUUCCCAGUGUAGUGGUGAAAUACGUAGAGAUUGGGAAGAACACCAGUGGCGAAGGCGGCUAUCUGGACGGUUUCUGACACUAAGACUCGAAAGCGUGGGGAGCAAACAGG
RNAcentral lists this ribosomal RNA (253 nucleotides) under uncultured bacterium. RNAcentral's name for it is "partial 16S ribosomal RNA". It matches the Rfam family "Bacterial small subunit ribosomal RNA", at positions 524 to 776 of the family's 1533-position model. The record is from RNAcentral.